Molecule: transfer RNA, 148 nt
Filed under: Testicularia cyperi
Lineage: Eukaryota; Fungi; Basidiomycota; Ustilaginomycetes; Ustilaginales; Anthracoideaceae
Rfam family: tRNA
About the family: Transfer RNA (tRNA) molecules are approximately 80 nucleotides in length. Their secondary structure includes four short double-helical elements and three loops (D, anti-codon, and T loops). Further hydrogen bonds mediate the characteristic L-shaped molecular structure. tRNAs have two regions of fundamental functional importance: the anti-codon, which is responsible for specific mRNA codon recognition, and the 3' end, to which the tRNAs corresponding amino acid is attached (by aminoacyl-tRNA synthetases). tRNAs cope with the degeneracy of the genetic code in two manners: having more than one tRNA (with a specific anti-codon) for a particular amino acid; and 'wobble' base-pairing, i.e. permitting non-standard base-pairing at the 3rd anti-codon position.
Source: Rfam by way of RNAcentral
GUCUUCGUGGCCUAGUUGGUUAGGGCGUAGGUCUCAUACGAGAACCACCGCACCGGUGCAUCAACGAUCCUGCUUGCAGGAACAAACCUACGAACUGCUAAAAGUUCAUGACAUCCUAAGAUCGCGAGUUCGACUCUCGCCGAGGACA